Molecule: transfer RNA, 72 nt
Filed under: Camelus bactrianus (Bactrian camel)
Lineage: Eukaryota; Metazoa; Chordata; Mammalia; Artiodactyla; Camelidae
Also listed under: 2 other names
Rfam family: tRNA
About the family: Transfer RNA (tRNA) molecules are approximately 80 nucleotides in length.
Source: Rfam by way of RNAcentral
GAGGGUAUAGCUCAGUGGUAGAGUGCAUGCUUAGCAAGGAGGAGGUCCUGGGUUCAAGACCAAGUACCCCCA